UGCUACCUGUGAUAAACGUGUCAAAACAUAAAAGAUAACGUCAAGUACAGGUCAUGCGAUUACAUUCUCGAAGGAUGCGCCCCCUCACUUUGAGGUGAUGACCAUUUUUUAAUUUUGAUCUCCUUUUUUAAUGACAUGCUUGAUCCGCCCAUUAACCUGGUUCGAGGAAAUGAGGGACGAGUGGAUAAAAGAAGUCUGAAGUUUGUUUUCAAUCAUUUCGGAGAGAAACAGUCGACGACGGGAAGACUUCACCCUGUUUGAAAAAUCAUCACUAAAUUAUCAAUAUAGUGGCGGUACAGAAAGACCAGACAGACCUGCUCAGAGAAGAUGAAGUUGACAAUUUGUUUGAUCAUAUCGGCGUUUCUUUUCACGCAUACCGUCGGGGCAUUCCGAGAGUUCAGGCACGACAUCCACGACCACGGAGGAUACGGUUGGACCGUCGAGCAUCUUUCCAUCGGUUUUUUUUUCCUCGAUUGUAACGUCCCGCCCGCUUACCGAGGUUUAAAAUAUAAAAAGGGGAAGCGAGACGUUCGCCUCGGGAAAAAGGUAUUGAAUCAUUCCAUGGUGUACUUCAGAGGAAAGACCUAUGAGUUCGGUGCCAAUAGUCUGGUCCUACACGAAGGAGGAAUAGGAAGAACCAACCCUCACAGCUGCCCUACAGUGAAACGUUCCUGGGCUGGACGCAGCCGUUGCACAGAGGAACAGGCGACAGAUCUGGCGGAGUGGUAUCAUCGGAACCAUAAUUACAAUUUAAUCACUCAAAACUGUCAUAAUUUCGCUGAGUGGCUAAUCAAUAGACUUUUGAACAAUGCUUGUACCAGGUAAUGAGUGACGUGUUAAUGAGAGUUUGUAUUAUGACUAUGAGAUUCGAGAGCCAAUUACCAUGAAAACCGUGAGGGAAGAGUACAAUUGAAUAUAUUACGUGUAUGUGAGAAAACAAGCAAAGGAAGAAAAGAUGGAAACAGUAUCUACAUAUGAAUCCGAAGUAAAAUACAAUAAUUAACUGUUUAAAUAGGAAAAAGAAUACGUGUGACAUAACAAAAAAGAAGAAAAAACACAGAAAUAUUCAAAUUGGCUUAAAUGGUUUUCCUCCCUUAACUUUCUUUGCAUCUGCAACAAUGCUUUUAUGUACCAAAACCCUCGUUCUUGUACAGAGUGAAACGAUGCAAGAAAAAAGAAACAACGACGAUAAUAUCAUUAA
Molecule: long non-coding RNA, 1201 nt
Organism: Strongylocentrotus purpuratus (purple sea urchin)
Lineage: Eukaryota; Metazoa; Echinodermata; Echinoidea; Camarodonta; Strongylocentrotidae
Exons: 2
Source: RefSeq, a predicted model, not a curated record